RNAcentral lists this unclassified non-coding RNA (323 nucleotides) under soil metagenome. RNAcentral's name for it is "partial contains 5.8S ribosomal RNA, internal transcribed spacer 2, and large subunit ribosomal RNA". The stretch from base 1 to 120 matches the Rfam family "5.8S ribosomal RNA", at positions 35 to 154 of the family's 154-position model. The record is from RNAcentral.
GAUGAAGAACGCAGCGAAAUGCGAUAAGUAAUGCGAAUUGCAGAAUUCAGUGAGUCAUCGAAUCUUUGAACGCACAUUGCGCCCUGUGGUAUUCCGCAGGGCAUGCCUCUUCGAGCGUCAUUUCAACCCUCAAGCUCUGCUUGGUGUUGGGCCCUGCCCGCUGCGGCCGGCCCUAAAGACAGUGGCGGUGCCGCCUGGCCCUGAGCGUAGUACAUCUCUCGCUCCAGUGCCCGGUGGUAGCCUGCCAGAACCCCAACUCUCGUGGUUGACCUCGGAUCAGGUAGGGAUACCCGCUGAACUUAAGCAUAUCAAUAAGCGGAGGA